CAUAUAGCAUAAGUAGUAUAAAACAUAAUGUGUAACAACAAUUGAGGAUGUGUGCUUUGCUGGUUAGGAGUUCUGCUUAGUUAAAGGGAAGACGGGGUUCAAUUCUUGCUCUUUGCUUAUUUUUAUUUUUAUUUUUAUAUAAAACCAAAUAGAGAGCCACAGCGAGUCGCAUUGAGUUGCUCCUACUACUGGGUUUCCUAAUGACUUGGCUAGAAAUUUUGCUGAGUCUAGUUGACUUGGCUGAAUUUUGGGUUGAUUUGGCAAAUUUUAGAACUAUGAUUUCAUCUGCAGCUGCUACUCAUAUGUCAUCUCUUUGUACUUGUGAUUUGAUGGAUUCACAGAUUUCCUGUGUUCUGAACAGUUGGCACUUUCUUGUAGAUUUUGGUACCAAUUGCCAAUGGCUCAGUGGAGAUGGAAGUUGUUAUGAUAAUUGAUAUUCUGCGGAGCAAAGGCAAAUGUGGUGGUAGCAUCUAUCGAAGAUAAAUUAGAAAUAGUGGCAGCUAGAAAAGUGAAACUAGCGGCUGAUAUGCUCCUCAAGGAGGCUGACAAGCUGCAAUAUGACCUUAUUAUUUUCUUGAACAACCAUAUGAUCUUGAUCAAAGGCUGUUCCACUAGCGAUGGAAACUGCAUCUGCUUCAGGAACUUGUAGGGAUCAUCAAGCUUUCAGCACCAUCCAGUUUCAGUCUAUUUGAAAGCUGAAAAUUCAUAUGGAUUUCAAUGGAUUUCACUUGAUGAAACUGAGAUCACUCCCUACAGGAUGAUGGAAUAUACGAAGCUGUUGAAAUUUCAGGGUGAAGUCAAGCACAUUUCUCUAAUGAAGCCAAAGAUUU
Molecule: long non-coding RNA, 830 nt
Organism: Magnolia sinica
Lineage: Eukaryota; Viridiplantae; Streptophyta; Magnoliopsida; Magnoliales; Magnoliaceae
Exons: 3
Source: RefSeq, a predicted model, not a curated record